This 326-nucleotide ribosomal RNA is filed under the name uncultured bacterium. Its description in RNAcentral is "bacterial SSU rRNA". It matches the Rfam family "Bacterial small subunit ribosomal RNA", at positions 28 to 334 of the family's 1533-position model. The record is from RNAcentral.
GAUGAACGCUGGCGGCGUGCCUAACACAUGCAAGUCGAACGGGGUUAUUUUGGAAAGUCCUUCGGGACUGGAAUCUAUAACCUAGUGGCGGACGGGUGAGUAACGCGUGAGCAAUCUGCCUUUAGGAGGGGGGAUAACAGUCGGAAACGGCUGCUAAUACCGCAUAAUGCAUCAAUUUCGCAUGUUAUUGAUGCCAAAGGAGCAAUCCGCCUUUAGAUGAGCUCGCGUCUGAUUAGCUAGUUGGCGGGGUAACGGCCCACCAAGGCGACGAUCAGUAGCCGACCUGAGAGGGUGACCGGCCACAUUGGGACUGAGACACGGCCCAA